This 433-nucleotide ribosomal RNA is filed under the name uncultured bacterium. Its description in RNAcentral is "partial 16S ribosomal RNA". It matches the Rfam family "Bacterial small subunit ribosomal RNA", at positions 29 to 507 of the family's 1533-position model. The record is from RNAcentral.
AACGAACGCUGGCGGCAUGCCUAACACAUGCAAGUCGAACGAAGGCUUCGGCCUUAGUGGCGCACGGGUGCGUAACGCGUGGGAAUCUGCCCUUUGGUUCGGAAUAACAGCUGGAAACGGCUGCUAAUACCGGAUGAUGACGAAAGUCCAAAGAUUUAUCGCCAGAGGAUGAGCCCGCGUUGGAUUAGGUAGUUGGUGGGGUAAAGGCCUACCAAGCCGACGAUCCAUAGCUGGUCUGAGAGGAUGAUCAGCCACACUGGGACUGAGACACGGCCCAGACUCCUACGGGAGGCAGCAGUGGGGAAUAUUGGACAAUGGGCGCAAGCCUGAUCCAGCAAUGCCGCGUGAGUGAUGAAGGCCCUAGGGCUGUAAAGCUCUUUUACCCGGGAAGAUAAUGACUGUACCGGGAGAAUAAGCCCCGGCUAACUCCGUG